UACGUAGGGGGCGAGCGUUACCCGGAAUCACUGGGCGUAAAGGGAGCGUAGGUGGCCUAACAUGUCAACUGUGAAAACCCGGAGCUCAACUCCGGACUUGCAGUUGAAACUGGUAGGCUUGAGGACGGUAGAGGAAGACGGAACUGCCAGUGUAGGGGUAAAAUCCUUAGAUAUUGGCAGGAACGCCGGUGACGAAGGUGGUUUUCUGGGCCGGUUCUGACACUGAUGCUCGAAAGCCAGGGGAGCGAAC
This 250-nucleotide ribosomal RNA is filed under the name uncultured bacterium. Its description in RNAcentral is "partial 16S ribosomal RNA". It matches the Rfam family "Bacterial small subunit ribosomal RNA", at positions 524 to 773 of the family's 1533-position model. The record is from RNAcentral.